UACAGAGUUUUGCUCGGCUCGAAGU
Molecule: non-coding RNA, 25 nt
Filed under: Drosophila erecta
Lineage: Eukaryota; Metazoa; Arthropoda; Insecta; Diptera; Drosophilidae
Also listed under: 1 other name
Source: RNAcentral